ACACCAGUGGUGAAACGGUUAUCAUGCCUGCCUUCCAUCUUAUGGCAUGUAAUUUGUAGCAGGCGGCGGGGGUUCGACUCCCUCCUGGUGUA
Molecule: transfer RNA, 92 nt
Organism: Fistulina hepatica ATCC 64428
Lineage: Eukaryota; Fungi; Basidiomycota; Agaricomycetes; Agaricales; Fistulinaceae
Rfam family: tRNA
About the family: Transfer RNA (tRNA) molecules are approximately 80 nucleotides in length. Their secondary structure includes four short double-helical elements and three loops (D, anti-codon, and T loops).
Source: Rfam